AGGCAGGCGACCACAGUGGGUUUAGCGACUGGGGUGAAGUCGUAACAAGGUAGCCGUAGGGGAACCUGCGGCUGGAUCACCUCCUUU
Molecule: ribosomal RNA, 87 nt
Filed under: Sphingobium indicum
Lineage: Bacteria; Pseudomonadati; Pseudomonadota; Alphaproteobacteria; Sphingomonadales; Sphingobiaceae
Description: partial 16S ribosomal RNA
Rfam family: Bacterial small subunit ribosomal RNA
Source: RNAcentral